GCAUAAUGCAUCUCUCGGGUGUGCCCCCAAUCUCUACUCUCUGCAAGUGUGUGUAUAUAUAUAUAUAUAUAUAUAUAAUAUACACACACUUGCAGAGAGUAGAGAUUGGGGGCACACCCGAGAGAUGCAUUAUGCAAG
RNAcentral lists this microRNA precursor (138 nucleotides) under Pelobates cultripes (western spadefoot toad). Lineage: Eukaryota; Metazoa; Chordata; Amphibia; Anura; Pelobatidae. The record is from RNAcentral.